RNAcentral lists this unclassified non-coding RNA (24 nucleotides) under Mus musculus (house mouse). Its description in RNAcentral is "oocyte_clustered_small_RNA10228". The record is from RNAcentral. Lineage: Eukaryota; Metazoa; Chordata; Mammalia; Rodentia; Muridae.
UGGAUGCUGGGAUGCUGUGACACA